This is a non-coding RNA of Calycina marina, 87 nucleotides long. The record is from the annotation of a GenBank genome assembly. Lineage: Eukaryota; Fungi; Ascomycota; Leotiomycetes; Helotiales; Pezizellaceae.
UCCGCACUGGUGUAUCGGUAACAUUUCCGCCUCUCAGAGCUCGUCUCAAGUUCGCGGUAGCGCAGGGUUCGACUCCCUGGUGCGGAA